UUAUUUUACACCUGAGAUUAUCUCAGCGACUGCCUCCAAAAUGAAAUCGUUGAUAUGGAAAAGAAUAGUCUUUUUAAAGAAAAACUAAAAAGAGAACUCUUCAGAAUAUCAGCUGUCAAGUCUGGCUAUUUUACCCAUCUCCUCCGUGGGAUAGAGAAAGAAAACUCUGCUUUGGAUAUCUAACCUAUUAAACAUAAAUGAUGAAAGUUUCCUGUGAAGCAUAACAAUCCCUGAUUGUGAAAGUACCCCACAAGCAUCGUUAACUAUAAAGUAAGGAAAAGUAUGAAAGAACCAUCUGGU
This 300-nucleotide long non-coding RNA is filed under the name Homo sapiens (human). RNAcentral describes it as "non-protein coding lnc-SLC24A2-1:2". Lineage: Eukaryota; Metazoa; Chordata; Mammalia; Primates; Hominidae. The record is from RNAcentral.